This is a long non-coding RNA of Sander lucioperca (pikeperch), 435 nucleotides long. RefSeq lists it as uncharacterized. NCBI's taxonomy places the organism in Eukaryota, Metazoa, Chordata, Actinopteri, Perciformes, Percidae. The record is from RefSeq and is a predicted model, not a curated record. The transcript is spliced from 2 exons.
UCUGUCUGUCUGUCUGUCUGUCUGUCUGUCUAUCUGUAGGUUCCAGCUGUCUGUCUGUCUGUCUGUCUGUCUGUCUCCAGGUUCCAGCUGUGAUCAUUGAGACCAUCAGGAUAUUUAAAUGAACUGAUGAUCACAAAGAUCUUCUGCUCUGAUUUUAUCUGACAGGUUUUAAAUGUUUGAUCUCAUUCAUUCAUUUGUCACAAACUGAAAUGUUUCCGUUAUAUUUCAGUAAGAUGUUAAACUUGAAAAGUCCACAAUUUCUGGAAGAUUAGUAUGUUGUGUUUCUAACUAAAUAAAGUUAUUUAAAUGUUAUUAAUUUAAAUGUUCUUUGCUGACUGAUAUCUGAAAAUGUUGCAGCUCUAACUGAUCAUAUUAAACUUCUGAUGAUUUGUUGAAUUAGAACCACAAAACACCAAUAAAGUUGACUUGACUUGA